This 45-nucleotide non-coding RNA is filed under the name Schistosoma mansoni. The record is from RNAcentral. Lineage: Eukaryota; Metazoa; Platyhelminthes; Trematoda; Strigeidida; Schistosomatidae.
AUCCAACUGACGAGUCCCAAAUAGAUCGAAACACACGUCUUAGAU